This 660-nucleotide ribosomal RNA is filed under the name uncultured bacterium. RNAcentral describes it as "bacterial SSU rRNA". It matches the Rfam family "Bacterial small subunit ribosomal RNA", at positions 1 to 636 of the family's 1533-position model. The record is from RNAcentral.
CCCUUAGAGUUUGAUCCUGGCUCAGAACGAACGCUGGCGGCGUGGAUAAGACAUGCAAGUCGAGCGCUAAUUACAGGGUAGCAAUAUUCUGUAGUUGGAGCGGCGCAAGGGUGCGUAACACGUGGGUAAUUUGCCGUGAAGUUGGGGAUAACUUGCUGAAAGGCGAGCUAAUACCGAAUGUGACGUUUGGAGGGCAUCUUCCGAAUUUCAAAGUUGGGGACCGUAAGGCCUGACGCUUCACGAUAAGCCCGCGGCCUAUCAGCUAGUUGGUGAGGUAACGGCUCACCAAGGCUAAGACGGGUAGCUGGUCUGAGAGGACGACCAGCCACACUGGAACUGAGACACGGUCCAGACACCUACGGGUGGCAGCAGUCGAGAAUUUUUCUCAAUGGGCGAAAGCCUGAAGGAGCGACGCCGCGUGGGGGAUGAAUGGCUUCGGCCCGUAAACCCCUGUCAUUUGCGAACAAACCUUACGAUUUAAUAGGUCGUGAGCUGAUUGUAAUGAAAGAGGAAGGGACGGCUAACUCUGUGCCAGCAGCCGCGGUAAUACAGAGGUCCCGAGCGUUGUUCGGAUUCACUGGGCGUAAAGGGUGCGCAGGUGGCCAUGAAAGUCUGAUGUGAAAUCUCCGGGCUCAACCCGGAAAAUGCAUUGGAUACUAU